UGCCCGGGCAUCUGGUUAGGUCUCCAACUGCUAAAGAGUGUAAAGAGUGUUGAUGACUCCUGUAUUACUCAUGGUUCUUGGUUAUGAGAGCCGAAAGUACCAUUCCAACUGAUGCAAGCAAAUCUAGGGGGCAAGGAAAGGAGCAGGAAGGAGGAAGAGGAGAAGAGAAGGAGGGAAAAUUAAAUGAAGCUAUUACUGAUGUGGGAGGAAUAGCUUCCUGUAACAGGAGACUGUGGCUUCCUAUAACAGGAGACUAUCACAGUUACCAGCAGGUAUGUGAACAGUGGCCCACUGCAGAGUUGGGAACAGAAAUGAAUCAAAUUUCCUCAUUUCCUAUUAUUCUGGAGCAGUGCUUCUCAAAAUGUAACGUGCAUAUGAAUCACCUGAAGAUGUUAUUGUUGAAAUGCAGUAGAUCUGGGGUAGGGCCUGAGUUUGCAUUUCCAACAAGGCCCCAGAUGAUGCCAGAGCUGCUGCUCCUCCAAGCACACUUUGAGUACACUCAGACAAUGACCACUGAACAAGGGAAGGCAGCCAACUCCGGAUACAAGUAGGGGAAGCAGCAUGUUGGGUACCUAAUAUUUAUCCAUUGUUGUAUGGUGAGAUAAUUAUGGUUCUUUGAUCUCAAAAAGCCCGUCAUUAUCUUAAAAAAAGGCUAAAUUAAUGAUGCCUCUAAGAUAUUACUAUAGAUUGUUAUUUGGAGCAGGGACUCAUUUGACUAUUUUCUUUGAGAUUUAGUCUCUCAAAGUAGACAAAAAUUUCUCUAACUAGUUGCUGGCAGUGUUUACUAAUCAUUGCAUUAACAGAGGCAACAAUGGUCAGAAAUUAUUACUGGGAUAUUGAAACCACCUUGCAAACAUUGUGACACUGAGAGAAGUCUAGCAUGGCUGACUCCAUCUUGCUUCUAGCCUCAUAGGCUGGCUGUCCUCACUCAUUCCUGGGCAUAGGCCCAUCAGACCAUGGGAGGAAUUUAGUUUAGUUUAACUUGGAAGCAAAGUACCUCCCUAAAGUUGACCCCCUCCCUGUUCAGGGACUGAAACCACAUUUGUAAGACUAAUAAAAAAUCACAAGAUUAAGAUGAUGGGAGGAGCCCAAAUUCUGCUACAAUAUAGGCAUAGUUAAAUGCUAACCAACCAUUAUUCCCUGGCUUGCUUUUCUAGAAUCCCUUACUGCUCAGGAGUCAUAAAGCUGGAGGUCACAAGAUUUGUAACUUUCCCAAGUGCUCCUAUAGAUGACAUCACUAUUGUCAAACCUAAGAUUGGUCUUUGAGAUAUUUUUUAGACUUUUGCAUUCUGAUGACCAACUGACUCCACCUGGACUCAUACGAAGGAACUGACUCAACUGGUGACUCCCACCCAGAAACUGACUCAGCACGCCAAAACCAUUUGGGCACUCCUAUGAUUUCAUUCCCAGCCAAUCUGGAGCAUCCAUUCCCUACCCCCUGCCCACCAAAUUAUACUUACAAACUGUAGCCUCCAGGCUCUCAGGGAGGCGGAUUUGAGAAUUAAUCUCCUGGGGCGCGUGGUCGCUGUAUCCAGCACUUGGGGCCGGGCGGAUCCAGUCAGGAGAUCGAGACCACAGUGAAACCCAUCUCUACUAAAAUACAAAAAUUAGCCGGGCGGUGGCGGGCCUGUAGUCCAGCUACUCAGGAGCUGAGCAGGAGAAUGGGGAACCGGAGCGGAGCUUGCAGUGGCGAGAUCGCGCCACUGCACUCCAGCCUGGGCAACAGCGUGAGACUCCGCCUCAAAAAAAAAAAAAAAAAAGAGAAUUAAUCUCCUGUUGUUCUGCUUGGCUGGCCCUAUGAUAAUCAAACUUUUUCUCUGCUGCAAUACCACUGUCUCAGUGAAUUGGCUUUAUAUGUGAAGUGGGUUACGAUAUUUGUAAUUCCUAAUAAAAACUACAAGAAGGUUAGAAUUUUCUGGGAUGAGCCAAAUUAAGAAAAAAGAAAAAAAGAAAUUCCAAAUUAUAGGGAUUAUCAGACAACAUUAGCAGAGAUUUUCAUCAUGUUACUAUUAUCCUAAAAACAUCACCUGGAUUGCAGCCUUGUGAAGGCAUGAGAAGAGAACCCAGUGAAACUGUGCCUGGACUUCUGGCCUAUAGUGACUGUGAGAUAAUAAAAUGGGUGUUUUUCUAAGUCAUUAAAUUUGUGGUAAUUUGUUGCAAAACAAUUCUAUGAAGCAAUAGAAAGCUACUAUAUUUACUGAACUUUUUUUCCUACCAAUUCUAAUCUGUUAAGCCUACUGAAUGAAUUUUUAAUUUCGACUGUUGUACUUUUUUAUUCUAUAAUUUUUCUUUAGUUCUUUAUUAUAGUUUCCAUUUCUCUGAUUAUUCAUUAAAAUCAUAUUUUCUUUAAGUCCUUGGUAUGUUUAUGUUUAUAACAGCUUUUUAAAAGUGUGUAUUUGUUAAAUCCAAUGUCUGAGCUAUCUCAGCAUCUGUUCGACUUUCUUUUCUUAGCUCUUGCUCUUCUUUGCAUGUCUGUUAAUUUUUUUUAUUGUUUAGUAGACAUUGUUGGUGAUACAUUUUAUAGAUUCUGAAUUUCAAUAUGUCAUUCUCUAAAUAAUGUUAAGCUACGCUUUUAAGCUGUUAAUGAUGGUUGAUCACUUUCAAGUUGCAUGGGCUUCCUCAGGGAAAAUCUGUGGAAGCCCCAAGAUAUUUACUAAGCUCACAGAAAUCAAAUUCCAAUCUCUGUUUACCCAGUAGAUUUUGACAAGGCUUUGUUUUAGAGGCUUUUUUUUUUAGAGUGAUCUAGAAUAGGCCUUGCUCCAGGACAUAAUCCUCAUCCCUAAGGCAUGGCCUUUAUAAAUUCCUGGGAUAUUAAUGAGGUCACUCUACUCUGGCUGGAACUCAGUUUCAAUGUCUGUCAGCACUGUUCGAUUUCUCAUAUUGUUCCAAACUCAACUGUACAGCAGCAACUCUCUGGUAAGACUCCCAAAGGUUCAGUCUGUGCCUGUACAACCCAGUCCUCAGAUAAAAACACAGAGAUCCCACAAACACAUACCUGCACCCCCCAUUUUGCACAGAUGCCUCCUUCCCCAUUCCCAGGCCUACCAAUUCCAGGCAUCUUGGCAGCCCAAACUCUGAUCUCUGCCUCCUUAGCUCAAAAAGACCACUCAUCUUGGCAAAGGCUCCACCUCCCUAUGCCAUAGCCUGGAAAUCACCCCCAGACAGAGAUUCUAGAUGAAUACAGAGCUUAUCUUAUGAGUUUUUCUUAUUUCAGUGAUCACAGUCUUCUACCUGUUACCCAAUUUAUAAAACUGUUGCCUCAUAUGAUUUUAUUGUUUUCAUUCAGCAAGAGGCCUAGUCUGGUACUAGGUACUCAGACAUGGCUAGAAGCAGA
Long non-coding RNA from Macaca mulatta (Rhesus monkey), 3334 nucleotides. The record is from Ensembl. NCBI's taxonomy places the organism in Eukaryota, Metazoa, Chordata, Mammalia, Primates, Cercopithecidae.